This 440-nucleotide ribosomal RNA is filed under the name uncultured bacterium. Its description in RNAcentral is "partial 16S ribosomal RNA". It matches the Rfam family "Bacterial small subunit ribosomal RNA", at positions 338 to 795 of the family's 1533-position model. The record is from RNAcentral.
CCUACGGGAGGCAGCAGUGGGGAAUAUUGGGCAAUGGGCGCAACCCUGAUCCAGCGACGCCGCGUGAGUGAAGAAGUCUUUCGGUAUGUAAAGCUCUAUCAUCAGGGACGAAAAUGACGGUACCUGACUAAGAAUCCCCGGCUAACUACGUGCCGGCAGCCGCGGUAAUACGUAGGGGGCAGGCGUUAUCCGGAUUUACUGCGUGUAAAGGGGGCGUAGGCGGUGCAGCAAGUCUGAUGUGAAAGGUCGGGGCUCAACCGCGGGACUGCAUUUGAAACUGUUGAACUUGAGUACCGGAGAGGUAAGCGGAAUUCCUAGUGUAGCGGUGAAAUGCGUAGAUAUUAGGAGGAACACCAGUGGCGAAGGCGGCUUACUGGACUGUAACUGACGGUGAGGCUCGAAAGCGUGGGGAGCAAACAGGAUUAGAUACCCCAGUAGUC